Molecule: long non-coding RNA, 378 nt
Filed under: Ananas comosus (pineapple)
Lineage: Eukaryota; Viridiplantae; Streptophyta; Magnoliopsida; Poales; Bromeliaceae
Description: long non-coding RNA (ACOM_LNC010335)
Source: RNAcentral
CCGGCGGUCUCUCAAAUAAUUGUUUCGAGUAACUGACGUUGAUAGGCGUUGCUCUAUCAAUAGCCAAGAUCAAACACCGCGAGUUCAAAACCUGAGAUUUACCGUCCCCAGUGGUCAUAUUACUUUUUCCAUCUGGCGGCCUCGAUUAACCAUGUUUUUUGGCCAUUUCAUACUUGAUUUCUCCUUUGAUGGCUACGAUUUUCGAUGCACUUUCAUCUUACCUAGGGCAUUAAUUAGCGCAUUAAUUAUUGCCGUCAUCUCGUCAUCAUGAAAACCUAUUUCAAAACUCUCUUCAACAACUUCAUCUUCCUUGUUCCUUUUCUCGACGCUUCCUCUUUGACUCUUCCUCCCUUCCAAAGUCUUUCUUCUCUAAUGGCU